Photobacterium sp. is the source of this 113-nucleotide regulatory RNA element. NCBI's taxonomy places the organism in Bacteria, Pseudomonadati, Pseudomonadota, Gammaproteobacteria, Vibrionales, Vibrionaceae. The record is from Rfam.
CGAUCAGCACUACCACCACCAUUAUUAUUACCGGCACCAUGCGUGUUGGGGCGGGCUGAUACGCAUAAGAUUUGAGAAAAAGCCCGCACUCAAAAAGUGCGGGCUUUUUUUUA